CAAGACAACUUUACGGAGUUGACGAUUGACGGAGCGAAGCGACGUCAAAGCGUUCAUUAAAGUCGAGUUGGCUUAGGGAUACGUUCGUUGGGUAGGGGAGCGUUCUGUAAGCCUGUGAAGGUGUGUCGUGAGGCAUGCUGGAGGUAUCAGAAGUGCGAAUGCUGACAUAAGUAACGAUAAAGCGGGUGAAAAGCCCGCUCGCCGGAAGACCAAGGGUUCCUGUCCAACGUUAAUCGGGGCAGGGUGAGUCGACCCCUAAGGCGAGGCCGAAAGGCGUAGUCGAUGGGAAACGGGUUAAUAUUCCCGUACUUGGUGUUACUGCGAAGGGGGGACGGAGAAGGCUAUGUUGGCCGGGCGACGGUUGUCCCGGUUUAAGCGUGUAGGUGUGUGUUCCAGGUAAAUCCGGUU
This 408-nucleotide ribosomal RNA is filed under the name Salmonella enterica subsp. enterica serovar Heidelberg. RNAcentral's name for it is "partial 23S ribosomal RNA". It matches the Rfam family "Bacterial large subunit ribosomal RNA", at positions 1163 to 1547 of the family's 2925-position model. RNAcentral also lists the same sequence under 3 other names. The record is from RNAcentral. Lineage: Bacteria; Pseudomonadati; Pseudomonadota; Gammaproteobacteria; Enterobacterales; Enterobacteriaceae.